This 253-nucleotide ribosomal RNA is filed under the name uncultured bacterium. RNAcentral's name for it is "partial 16S ribosomal RNA". It matches the Rfam family "Bacterial small subunit ribosomal RNA", at positions 524 to 776 of the family's 1533-position model. The record is from RNAcentral.
UACGGAGGGCGCAAGCGUUGUUCGGCCUUACGGGGCGUAAAGCGCGUGUAGGUGACCUGGCAAGUCGGGUGUGAAAUCCCGGAGCUCAACUCCGGAACUGCAUCCGAUACUGCCAAGCUCGAGUCUCGGAGAGGAUGGCGGAAUUUCCGGUGUAGAGGUGAAAUUCGUAGAUAUCGGAAGGAACACCAGUGGCGAAGGCGGCCGUCUGGACGAUGACUGACACUGAGACGCGAAAGCUUGGGGAGCAAACAGG